CCUACGGGUGGGCAGCAGUGGGGAAUAUUGGACAAUGGGGGCAACCCUGAUCCAGCCAUGCCGCGGGUGUGAAGAAGGCCCUCGGGUUGUAAAGCACUUUCAGUGAGGAAGAACGCCUGGUGGUUAAUACCCAUCAGGAAAGACAUCACUCACAGAAGAAGCACCGGCUAACUCCGUGCCAGCAGCCGCGGUAAUACGGAGGGUGCGAGCGUUAAUCGGAAUUACUGGGCGUAAAGCGCGCGUAGGUGGCUUGAUAAGCCGGUUGUGAAAGCCCCGGGCUCAACCUGGGAACGGCAUCCGGAACUGUCAAGCUAGAGUGCAGGAGAGGAAGGUAGAAUUCCCGGUGUAGCGGUGAAAUGCGUAGAGAUCGGGAGGAAUACCAGUGGCGAAGGCGGCCUUCUGGACUGACACUGACGCUGAGGUGCGAAAGCGUGGGUAGCAAACAGGAUUAGAUACCCGAGUAGUC
This 466-nucleotide ribosomal RNA is filed under the name Vreelandella stevensii. RNAcentral's name for it is "partial 16S ribosomal RNA". It matches the Rfam family "Bacterial small subunit ribosomal RNA", at positions 338 to 795 of the family's 1533-position model. The record is from RNAcentral. Lineage: Bacteria; Pseudomonadati; Pseudomonadota; Gammaproteobacteria; Oceanospirillales; Halomonadaceae.